GUGUGCGCGCCGGCUCCACGGAAAAGAAAAGUGGCCCGCGGGCCCGGAAGCUUCCGAGCCGGCUGACGGGGCUACGCCGGGAAUUGUGGCGGUGCCGGGCGCGCCGAACGGGAGAUGGGGCAGCGGGCGGUGGGGUCCGCGGUCGGAGGGGGUUGGUUCCAGCCGCACGGCCCCCGGUGACCCGCAGGACACAAGUGCAUUUGUGCCGAGCCGUGGCGGGGAUUAAAGUGCCAUACGGCCCGAGCGAGGGGGGCGAGGCGGGUGGAAAACAACUCCCCGCGCGCACAAAGCGCGCAUUGUUCCAGCCACCUCCAUUAUGCCGCGCUGCAGCCAAGAGCCCGUUUCGCAACUGCCCGCCCGGCGCGCGCGCGCGCGCACGCACACACAGACCGCCACACACGCGCGCGCGCGCGCACACGCACAGACAAGCACGAAUUCCCCCGGGCCGAGGCCAGGGGUGGGUGCGCUCUGCUGGGACUGGGAGAGGCCGCUGGGGCCGGGGCCUGCCCCGAGCGCACCCCGGAGCCUCGAGCUCCCCAGGAGAAGCGGCGACGGCGGGUGUGGGGAUCAGGGAGGGGCGCUCUCAGCCGCUGUCACCCGCGGAUCGCAGCCCCAGGCGUGCAGCGCUUGCCGGCUCUGCUGGGGACACGUGUUCGGGAGGAACGGGGGAAGCAUCCCGCCUUCCAAGGAGAGGCUCCCGGAGCGCCCCCAUCCCGGGCUCUCCAGGACUUCCCCUGGCCCGGAGCGGGAGCUGCGGAAUCCCGCGCCGCACUGCCGGGUCUGCCGGUUGGAGCUCGCCAACUAGGACAGCUCGGCCACCCCUACCCUCACCACGCCAGUGCCGGGCCCUGUCCUCCGCCCUCGCUGGCUUUCGCGGCACUGAUGGGCACCGAGAGAGGACUAUCACGCUUGCCCGCCUCUUGGGAUCCUACCCUGUUCUCCCCCGGGAACGGAGUGGGGAUGGGGGAGGCCGGGAGAGAACUAAGGCACCCUCUUCGCCUCCCGCCGCGCCCUCCCUGGUGGGCAGGUGGGGAGCGUAGGAGCCGGAGCGCGGCGAGCCAGCGCGGUCUGGUUUCCUUUACGUUUACAAGCUAUAAAUAAACUUCCCCUUGGGCGGAUGCGCGCUGCGUCC
This 1132-nucleotide long non-coding RNA is filed under the name Vulpes vulpes (red fox). RNAcentral describes it as "lncRNA (ENSVVUG00000011375.1)". The record is from RNAcentral. Lineage: Eukaryota; Metazoa; Chordata; Mammalia; Carnivora; Canidae.